Molecule: ribosomal RNA, 467 nt
Filed under: uncultured bacterium
Lineage: Bacteria
Description: partial 16S ribosomal RNA
Rfam family: Bacterial small subunit ribosomal RNA
Source: RNAcentral
ACGCACGCUGGCGGCGUGCUUUACACAUGCCAGUCGAACGGAAAGGCCCUGCUUUUGUGGGGUGCUCGAGUGGCGAACGGGUGAGUAACACGUGAGUAACCUGCCCUUGACUUUGGGAUAACUUCAGGAAACUGGGGCUAAUACCGGAUAGGAGCUCCUUCUGCAUGGUGGGGGUUGGAAAGUUUCGGCGGUUGGGGAUGGACUCGCGGCUUAUCAGCUUGUUGGUGGGGUAGUGGCUUACCAAGGCUUUGACGGGUAGCCGGCCUGAGAGGGUGACCGGCCACAUUGGGACUGAGAUACGGCCCAGACUCCUACGGGAGGCAGCAGUGGGGAAUAUUGCACAAUGGGCGGAAGCCUGAUGCAGCAACGCCGCGUGCGGGAUGACGGCCUUCGGGUUGUAAACCGCUUUCGCCUGUGACGAAGCGUGAGUGACGGUAAUGGGUAAAGAAGCACCGGCUAACUACGUG